GGCCACAACGGAUUAACAAACAAAUAUACCUUUAUAAUAAAUAUUAUUAUAGUCCGAAUCGUAUGCUAAAAAAAUAAACAAUACUUUUAUGGUAAAAAAAAAUGUUUUAUUUACAAGUUUGCCCUACGCGAUCUCAUAGAUAAAGAUAUCGAACAAUAAAAUAUGAGUAUUAGCCCAACUUUUUUCUGUUUGCCGGUGACGUUCAUUCUUAGAGAGAGAGAGAGAGGACAGAAGUUUUGUCAAAACGACAUCUUUACAUGCCUAUAAUGUUCGUGCUUAUUUUUCUUUUCUACAGCUCAACCAAGUAAAGCACUAGGCACAAGAAACUUACCGGAAGUUGGUCGGACGUUUGUGUCUUUUCCGUGGCCUGGGCGCCGUCCACCGGCUCGUUAACGCGGUCGUCGGCCGUAUCGUCUAUGUAACCCGCGUUGGCGGGCGGUUCGAGUGAUGGCCGACUUUCCUCGGAUGCCACGCAACUGUUUUGGUUUUUCAUAAUAAUAAUUUUACACACGUAUAACACUUGUGACAAAAUACUUGGAAAUCGCGGCCUACUGUGAAAUAACAACACUGCGACGGUACAACCGCGUGUCUUACCGUCAAGCCGCACUCAACAGUACUAGUGUGUUAUGUGACAGCUAUUAUCGACGGUGCAAGGUACGCAAAGUGUCGCCGGCCACGCGAGUCGUACCGUAAGCCGCACCGCCACCACCGCGACCGGCGUUCUUGCAGUUUCAAUACCUGACUUGUUUCUUGAUUUUUCGAUUAAAGUUUAAAGGUCGGCCGUUCCGUGGACUAUUGGAGCUAUUUCCUACACACAUUGUUGUUGAUUACAUCAUAAUACAGUUGUCGAUUAAUAUAAUUUUAUUGUCCCAAAAAUCACAACACAUAAUAUUAUAUUAUACAGCUACAGCGUGCACGACAAUUCCACGGUACAACCAUUUUUUAUGAUUUAAAACCAAUAAAUUGCUACGCGGAAAAAAAUGUUUUAAAUUAAAUCUUUAAUACUUGGGUCUGACAAAAAUUGGAAAACUUAUUACGAAUUUUAUAAACAUAAUUAACCCAAACUUUAUAAAAAAUAAAAAACUUCAAAGCUCAUUUAUGAAAUCAUAUUGAAACAUUUAGCCCCAAAGGGUACACAAAAUUUGUAGGUAUACACAUUUUUGUUUGUAUAAUUCUUUAAACUUAAAAUUUUGACGUUUGCACGUCAAUACUUCUGUCAUAGGUCUAAAAUAUUUCAUGAAAUCAAAAAAUCCUAAACAUUACAACUAACCUCGUCUAUAGAAAACAUCAUACUGUAUCAUGUUAUGCACUUAUGAAGACUGUAAAAUAUAAUAUGCCUUUUUGUUUAUUAGUCAGCGCGAAUGUAGUGCGUUCCGACAUAAAUCUUUAUUUAAUUAUCAUAGAAAAAACUCAAAUAACAAUAUAUGGUACCUGUAUCUAGCCUUUGGUGGUCGACGUGACAGUCACACUAUUAUCAACUUUAUAUUAUUAUACUUGUUUUGAAAUGUAAAACUUAUUUGUGUUAAAAUAGUCGUAAUUCCUAAAUAUUGUUAUUUCAGCAACAUUUAACACGUUAUGUAUAUAUAUUUUUUUUAUUGAAUUUUGCCUCAUCAUCUCUGGCAAUACAAUUUGUAUGUUUUUAUACGUUCGGGUGGACAAACUGAUACGAUAAAAAAACAAUAAUCUGUAAUAACAAUGUCUGUAACAAUAAUAAUAGCUCUAUGAUAGAAUACAGUCAUAAUACA
Adelges cooleyi (spruce gall adelgid) is the source of this 1745-nucleotide long non-coding RNA. RefSeq lists it as uncharacterized. The record is from RefSeq and is a predicted model, not a curated record. The transcript has 3 exons. NCBI's taxonomy places the organism in Eukaryota, Metazoa, Arthropoda, Insecta, Hemiptera, Adelgidae.